UCAGGCGGCCACAGAAAGCCCACAGCACAGGUCCCAGCUGCACUGCAAGCCUCUGUCCCACCGUCCCCAGCUCAGAGCAAAGCAGACACCUGAAGCAGAUGGUGCUCCCCAAAAGCAGCGCCCCAAAAGAUGCUGGGGCAGGCGCCAUGGGCAAGGCUGUCUCCUUCUGGCCCUGCCGUCCUGCUGCUGGUGCUCUCUGCCAGCUUGACCUCCCAGGACAUCUGCAGCUCCCCAGGGGAUCUCCUGGCUCCUGCUCUCCAACUCAGCAUAACUUCUGCUCAGCCAGGUACCACAGCUGUGCUCCAGUGUUUUCUCC
Long non-coding RNA from Cygnus olor (mute swan), 316 nucleotides. RefSeq lists it as uncharacterized. Lineage: Eukaryota; Metazoa; Chordata; Aves; Anseriformes; Anatidae. The record is from RefSeq and is a predicted model, not a curated record. The transcript is spliced from 3 exons.